This 76-nucleotide transfer RNA is filed under the name Ruminococcus sp. CAG:254. RNAcentral describes it as "transfer RNA-Pro(GGG)". It matches the Rfam family "tRNA". Rfam says of the family: Transfer RNA (tRNA) molecules are approximately 80 nucleotides in length. Their secondary structure includes four short double-helical elements and three loops (D, anti-codon, and T loops). Lineage: Bacteria; Bacillati; Bacillota; Clostridia; Eubacteriales; Oscillospiraceae. The record is from RNAcentral.
CUGGGUGUGGCGCAGUUGGUAGCGUGCUACCUUGGGGUGGUAGAGGCCGCCGGUUCAAAUCCGGUCACUCAGACCA